UACCUACUAUAAAAGUAUGAAUAAUUGGUAAUGGUUUCUUCCCUUUUUUGUGUGUCCAAUAUUACCCUUCGCCCAAUAACUUAUUUGGUGGAUAAUAUGGUAAAUAUACAUUACAAUAACAAUAACAAACUAAAAAAAAACGCCACUUCUAUGAUAUAAUAUUAAAUAAUAAUAAUUAUUUUACUUGUCCACUAUCAUUUUAAUGAUAAUUAUAUUUUGUGUUAAAACAAGUAAUUAGUUAAUACAUAUUAAUUAGAAUAAUUAUUACUAUGAAAUAAUAUUAAAUAAUUAUACUUAUUUUACUUGCCCACUACACUUUUAAUGAUGAUUAUUUUUUGCCGG
This 342-nucleotide long non-coding RNA is filed under the name Erythranthe guttata (spotted monkey flower). RNAcentral describes it as "long non-coding RNA (EGUT_LNC001088)". Lineage: Eukaryota; Viridiplantae; Streptophyta; Magnoliopsida; Lamiales; Phrymaceae. The record is from RNAcentral.